CCCAGGAUGCGUUUUCCCCAGGAAAAUAUUAACCAUACCAGAGCAAUGGUUAAUAUUAUAAAUUGAACAAAGAUCAGAAAAGAACUACAAGGGAGUCGUCCAGUAUGAUCAAGUGUUCCCUGUGGGAGACUUCUACCCUAAGGUCCUAGACCUAGGAAUUCAGCAAUCCUGCCAGAAGGUGUUGAACUUGCAGGCUACGGACACAAAAUCUUGGCCAGCACUCUCUCUAGUGGUGAACCAAAGAACUACCCCUCUGCAUUUCCUAAACUGCAUGAAAAUGAAUAAGAAGGUAUAUAUGAAGACACCCAGUGCAUGCAUUUAAUAAUUGUCAAAUCUGAGGAAGAAUAAAUAUUGGCACCAAUGACUCUGAACAAUGUCUCUCUGAGUUUCCAGUGAGUCAUGUGAUGUGAGACAAUGGAGAUAAACUGAGUUGUGUGUCUUCCCAUAAAAUUAAUGGAGUUAUUGUUAUUCAGAAAAACUUGGGUUUCAGAAGCUGGAGUGUGGAGGAGAACCAUUGGUGUCUGGUAAGACCUGUCUUUCUGGCCCUUUCUCUGAAUGCACAGAGCAAAAGAGGGCUCUGCUGUCUUUUACUCUUUUUAUAAGGACACCAGGGAUAUUGGA
Marmota monax (woodchuck) is the source of this 621-nucleotide long non-coding RNA. RefSeq lists it as uncharacterized. The record is from RefSeq and is a predicted model, not a curated record. Lineage: Eukaryota; Metazoa; Chordata; Mammalia; Rodentia; Sciuridae. The transcript is spliced from 4 exons.